GCCCCGGUAGCCCAGCGGUAGAGGCAAUGGAUUCAAAACCCAUCAAGCGUCGGUUCGAAUCCGACUCGGGGUA
RNAcentral lists this transfer RNA (73 nucleotides) under Streptomyces sp. MBT65. RNAcentral describes it as "tRNA-Leu". It matches the Rfam family "tRNA". Rfam says of the family: Transfer RNA (tRNA) molecules are approximately 80 nucleotides in length. Their secondary structure includes four short double-helical elements and three loops (D, anti-codon, and T loops). Further hydrogen bonds mediate the characteristic L-shaped molecular structure. tRNAs have two regions of fundamental functional importance: the anti-codon, which is responsible for specific mRNA codon recognition, and the 3' end, to which the tRNAs corresponding amino acid is attached (by aminoacyl-tRNA synthetases). tRNAs cope with the degeneracy of the genetic code in two manners: having more than one tRNA (with a specific anti-codon) for a particular amino acid; and 'wobble' base-pairing, i.e. permitting non-standard base-pairing at the 3rd anti-codon position. The record is from RNAcentral. RNAcentral also lists the same sequence under 1 other name. Lineage: Bacteria; Bacillati; Actinomycetota; Actinomycetes; Kitasatosporales; Streptomycetaceae.